GACUGAUCUUCCUUCAACACAAGAAAUUAGACAACUAAAUGAAAUUAAGGAGGCACUGCAUAAUGAUAUUUUGGAAAAUAAACAUCUCACCAAUAUCGCCAAGUCAAUAAUAUCAUUAAUAUUAAAUCGUGAUCCCAACAGAGAGAUAGCACAGUGGGGCAGAAUCAAAA
Long non-coding RNA from Lucilia cuprina (Australian sheep blowfly), 170 nucleotides. RefSeq lists it as uncharacterized. The record is from RefSeq and is a predicted model, not a curated record. NCBI's taxonomy places the organism in Eukaryota, Metazoa, Arthropoda, Insecta, Diptera, Calliphoridae. The transcript has 3 exons.